ACCAGCAGCCAUAUCACCCUGAAACUCACAACUGGCAACCCACUGAAGCUAAGCAGGUGUGAGCCUGGUCAGUACCUGGAUGGGAGACCUCCUAGGAAAAACUAAGGUUGCUGCUGGAA
Ribosomal RNA from Lepisosteus oculatus (spotted gar), 119 nucleotides. Lineage: Eukaryota; Metazoa; Chordata; Actinopteri; Semionotiformes; Lepisosteidae. The record is from Ensembl.